RNAcentral lists this ribosomal RNA (253 nucleotides) under uncultured bacterium. Its description in RNAcentral is "partial 16S ribosomal RNA". It matches the Rfam family "Bacterial small subunit ribosomal RNA", at positions 524 to 776 of the family's 1533-position model. The record is from RNAcentral.
UACAGAGAGUGCAAGCGUUAAUCGGAAUUACUGGGCGUAAAGCGCGCGUAGGUGGAUUUUUAAGUCGAUUGUGAAAGCCCCGGGCUUAACUUGGGAAUUGCAUUCGAUACUGAAUGUCUAGAGUAUGGUAGAGGGAAGUGGAAUUUCAGGUGUAGCGGUGAAAUGCGUAGAUAUCUGAAGGAACACCAGUGGCGAAAGCGGCUUCCUGGACCAAUACUGACACUGAGGUGCGAAAGCGUGGGGAGCAAACAGG